GGAUACUUGAUUGAACCGCAUGGUUCAAUUAUAAAAGGUGGCUUUUAGCUACCANUUAGNGAUGGACCCGCGGCGCAUUAACUAGUUGGGGGGGUAACGGCUCCCCAAGGGAACAAUGCGUAACCGACCUGAAAGGGGGAUCGGCCCCCCUGGGACUGAAACCCGGCCCAAACUCCUACGGGAGGGAGCAGUAGGGAAUCUUCCCCAAUGGACGAAAGUCUGACGGAGCAACCCCCCGGGGGUGAUGAAGGUUUUCGGAUCCUAAAACUCUGUUGUUAGGGAAAAAAAAGUACCUUUUAAAAAGGGCGGUACCUUGACGGUACCUAACCAAAAAGCCCCGGCUAACUACCUGCCAGCCGCCGCGGUAAUACCUAGGUGGCAAGCGUUGUCCGGAAUUAUUGGGCCUAAAGCCCGCCCAGGCGGUUUCUUAAGUCUGAUGGGAAAGCCCCCGGCUCACCCGGGGNGGGUCAUUGGAAACUGGGGAACUUGAGUGCAAAAGAGGANANNGGANNUUCNCUUNNNNCNGUGAAAUGCNUAAAAAUGUGGAGGAACCCCCGGUGGCNAAGGCNACNNUNCUGGUNNUGUAACUGANCNUUGAGGCCC
RNAcentral lists this ribosomal RNA (603 nucleotides) under Bacillus sp. MH20. RNAcentral describes it as "partial 16S ribosomal RNA". It matches the Rfam family "Bacterial small subunit ribosomal RNA", at positions 171 to 754 of the family's 1533-position model. The record is from RNAcentral. Lineage: Bacteria; Bacillati; Bacillota; Bacilli; Caryophanales; Bacillaceae.